AGAUUCCACAACUGCAACAAGUGUAUUACGAUAUUUUUCCACUCUAGACAGUUAAAUUUUAGUAUUUAAAGCGGGAGUUAAAACUUAACUGUUGAGAGUGGAGAAAUAUUGUAAUACACGAGUUGCAGUGGUGGAAUCU
Molecule: small RNA, 139 nt
Filed under: Mytilus galloprovincialis (Mediterranean mussel)
Lineage: Eukaryota; Metazoa; Mollusca; Bivalvia; Mytilida; Mytilidae
Source: RNAcentral